UAUAUUGACAUUUGCUCAAUAUUGCUAUAUAAUAAAUGCGUGCGUUUUGCGCACUAUAGCAAUAAACUUACCUUGUAAUAGGUGUAUUGGACCCGAGGGCAGUACUCGGCGCCUCCACCAUAUUUUUAAUUUAUGGGGGCGAUUAAGGCUCGACAUGCAUAGUAAAGAUGGUACUUUUGCUCGGUUAGACACCACCGUAAGAGUUCACAAUUUAGAUGCAAACGAUAACUUUGCUGCUGAACGUGUAGAGAGCGCUGCUGCUUAAUUUAGCACAGUAACUUUAUUACUAUAAGCACGGUUUGGGAAACGCCGGGUAACAGAAGUUUCCCACA
This 332-nucleotide transfer-messenger RNA is filed under the name Wolbachia endosymbiont of Folsomia candida. It matches the Rfam family "Alphaproteobacteria transfer-messenger RNA". From Rfam's summary of the family: Bacterial tmRNA, also known as 10Sa RNA or SsrA, is named for its dual tRNA and mRNA-like properties. The record is from RNAcentral. Lineage: Bacteria; Pseudomonadati; Pseudomonadota; Alphaproteobacteria; Rickettsiales; Anaplasmataceae.